Molecule: ribosomal RNA, 489 nt
Filed under: uncultured bacterium
Lineage: Bacteria
Description: partial 16S ribosomal RNA
Rfam family: Bacterial small subunit ribosomal RNA
Source: RNAcentral
AUUGAACGCUGGCGGCAGGCCUAACACAUGCAAGUCGAACGGUAACAGGAAGCAGCUUGCUGCUUUGCUGACGAGUGGCGGACGGGUGAGUAAUGUCUGGGAAACUGCCCGAUGGAGGGGGAUAACUACUGGAAACGGUAGCUAAUACCGCAUAACGUCGCAAGACCAAAGAGGGGGACCUUAGGGCCUCUUGCCAUCGGAUGUGCCCAGAUGGGAUUAGCUAGUAGGUGGGGUAACGGCUCACCUAGGCGACGAUCCCUAGCUGGUCUGAGAGGAUGACCAGCCACACUGGAGCUGAGACACGGUCCAGACUCCUACGGGAGGCAGCAGUGGGGAAUAUUGCACAAUGGGCGCAAGCCUGAUGCAGCCAUGCCGCGUGUAUGAAGAAGGCCUUCGGGUUGUAAAGUACUUUCAGCGGGGAGGAAGGGAGUAAAGUUAAUACCUGUGCUCAUUGACGUUACCCGCAGAAGAAGCACCGGCGAACUCCGU